CCAUCUUUUUCCAUGUCCUUUAAGUUAUCUUUGCUAUUUCUCAAGCAUGUGAACACCAUGGAAUUUCUCUUGGUGGCACUCUUUUUAUUUGUUAAUCUUGCUGCUUUCUUAACCGCUGAUAGGUUGGCCAGGUGGUACGGCACUGUGGUGUACAAGCUCUCUGGGUCUUCAUGGGUGUUCAAGUUGUCAUUAGCUGGGUUCGUUCAUGCAUUGUCUAUGGUGGCUUCAACAUUCCACUUUAUUGCAUAUAUAAAACUUUUGGUAUAACCGUGCUUUAAACCUUUUUCUAUUAUAUAAUUUAUCUCUUUCUCAUAGUCAUUCCUGCUGGUAGAGUAAAUGUAUGCCCUACAUAUAAAGGAUCUGAAGGCAGCUUUUUUAUACUUCACUGGGUCCGCCAACCAAUUUGGUAUGAUGAUAGGGCAAUAUGUGGGCUUUUUGUAGACCCGCGUUUUGUAAGCGUCCUGCAUCACUUCUAUUUCGAUGUCUAAGAAGUGUACUUUAGAUUCACUUCUUUGUUCCUGCUUAAGUUG
RNAcentral lists this long non-coding RNA (530 nucleotides) under Androctonus crassicauda. Lineage: Eukaryota; Metazoa; Arthropoda; Arachnida; Scorpiones; Buthidae. The record is from RNAcentral.